Long non-coding RNA from Physeter macrocephalus (sperm whale), 3000 nucleotides. RefSeq lists it as uncharacterized. The transcript has 4 exons. Lineage: Eukaryota; Metazoa; Chordata; Mammalia; Artiodactyla; Physeteridae. The record is from RefSeq and is a predicted model, not a curated record.
CUCCGAACCCGCCGGCGGAGCCUGGGGCGCGCGCCCGCGGGGCCGCGCCGGGGGUUGGGCUCGAGAGAGGCUGGGAGAGGCCCCUGGGGCUGCACCGCCCCGUCGGCUGUCGCAGCCGAGAGCAGCAACUCCUCAUUCCCACGCGCGCUCACAGGCCCCGGAGCCGAGCGAGAGCUACCCAGGUCCCGUGCCUCCCCUUUCUCCCCUUCCCAGCCCCACCCCAAGGAGUGCAGACCCCGCUGGAGGGUGCAGCCCAGGGCCGCUGAGCGCCAGCACCCUGCGCCACGUCGAGCAAGUCACGUCGCCUCCCAGAACCUCGGUGCCCUCUUCUGCCAAGUGGCGGUGAUGAGAGGGAGCUUGCGGGGUCGUGAAAGGUAUUCAAGGAGACGAGGCCACAGGAAGACCUUGGACAGCAGUGAACAGAGGUGUAAUGUGACCUUGGAGGGAGUUUCAAAGCAAUCUGCGAUGGAAUAUGCUCUUCCCUGUCCUUUGUCCCUCAGAGUCAUCCUCCACCAAAGCCUGAAGCCUCCACAUCUCACCCCCCUGCCCAUCCGGCCCCUGAGUCCAAGAGGACUCGACUCCCUUGAGUAGACCCCUCCCCCAGGCACGUGCCUGGCCCCUGCCAUCUCCAAGCCAUGCCCCCCACUCCUUCUCGCCAGCACUGCAGAGUCAUCCUCUCCGGGUGUUGCUAUUGCUUCCGGGCCUUCCUGGUUCCCAGUGGCUCCCUGCUGCCACCUCAUCAGGCCCAGACAGCUCUGCUGGCCUUCCCACCCCUCAUGCCCGGGCCCCACCCAGCUGACCUCAGGGCCCACUGUCUCACCACUCUCUGAGUUCAAGUUCAUUCCUUCCCAGGGGCAGCAUCACAUGGCACACCAUCCCCAACCUUUGCCCUGAGCCUCAGGUCCUACCAGUGCACUUUCUGGGCUGCCUCCUCCAGGAAGUCCUCUGGACUAUCAGGCCCUCGCUCCCCAAACCCACAUGCUCUUAACCCAACAAUCCAGGCUUCAUAAUCUGCUACUCUGUGCUGUUGAUUGACUACUCCACAUGUGUCCUCUUCUUCUCCACACUAUUCUAGUGGGAAGGACACAGAUAGUACAGUCAGACAGCACUGGAUGGGAAUUCUGGCUUCUGCUACUACGAAUGACCUUGGACAAGUUACAGAACCUUCUGAAUCUCUUUCCUCACCUGUGAAAUGGGAUAAUGAUACCUAUUUCCUAGAGUUGUGAGAAUUAAAUGAGAUGAUGCAAUUAAAGUGCCUCCUAGAGACUAAUAUACAACAGGUCGAAACCUAUGGUAGUCUGUUCUUUUCCUUCGAGCUCCUAGUGUACUGCUGAACAUGCAGUAGGUCCUCAAUAAACACUCGGUGAUGAACUAAAUGAAUUGCUGAGUUAGUUUUUUUAUUAUUAUUAUGCAGAUCACAUCUCAGAGAGUAAAAAACAUAGCCUCUAGGUUUCCGGGACCUUGGAGAUUUACAAAACAUAAAAUCAGAAAGGCAUAAUCUCAGAGCUAUGUUUUGAGUCAAUAGGCUGAUGCCAAGAGGGAAAAUGUAUUCAGUUCUAUAAGCAACACAAACUAAAGCUCUUUGGUGUCUGGAAUCCUGAUCCCUUUAUCUUCUCACCCACUCUGUCCCUUAGAGAAACAGAGAGAUAGAUCUAAGCAGGUCCAGCGGCAGGUGGGCAGGCAGGUGGCCCCAGAGCUCAGUGCAACCUGCACACGCUGAGAUAUUGCCCAUAGGACAGUUAGUCCAGCUGCAAGGCUCAGCUUGAGCGUGUUAGAAGCCAGGGAAACCAGUGAACUCAGUCUCUGGUUGGCCUGACAAUAGCCUCAGCCAUAUUGGCACUUUUCAGAGGUCUCCACGUGAUGGAUUAGUUAAUCCUCAAAAUGGCCCUGAGAAGGGGAUCGAUCCACGCUGAGGCUGUGGGUAGGAGAGAGGGUCCUGGCCUGAGCCGAGCCAGCUGCUGACUCAGCAGCAGCUCUGGAAGCCCUGGAGCGGGGGAAAUGAGGCACCACCCAGGCCCAUCCUUAGGCGGUGACUGGGAGGUUGAGCAGGCGGCUUUGUCAGCCAGGCAAGGAAGACGUGAUCUUUUGAACGUACAGUCAGCCUGUCUGUGCGGUAAGUAGAGAGGACACAGAAUUUCCAUGGUGCUGCAUCUUUUGAAAUGGCUUUUGCUAAUAACAAUAGCCUUAGCUUUCUACCUGGAAGUGACAUAUCACUUAUGCCUCCAGCAACCCUUUCCAGAAGGUACUUUUAUGGUUCCAGAUGAGAAAAAUGUAAAAUUUGCUCAGCUCAUUGCUAGAAAGAAGGACACCUGGGAUUCAAUUUCAUGUUGGAGCCCACACGAUGCCUUCGCCCCUACAGGAAAUUACGCCCAAGGUGCAAAAAAGAAAAGCCCUGCGCGGGAUCCCACAACUUGGAGCCAGCCUGCCCCUCCACGUCAGACCCUCCAGCUGUCCGAGGCCCUGGGAGGCAUUCCUCAUCCAGGCUGGGGUUCCUCACCGGCUUGUUCAUUCCCAAGUCCAGAGUAGAAACAGAUGAAAUGAAGGCUCGUGCAGGAAGGCUCUUUGCCAGAAGGCCGAGUCCCUCUCUGGUGGGCAGGUUAUUACUAUUAACACAGCAUGUGCUGCUCGGCCAGUGUUUGUGGAACCCAAGCUGGAGGCCGGAUUCGGCGAACUUCUGGGCCAGUGAACAUAUCCACUUGCUGAGAGAGUGGUGCACCCCAACUGCACAGGGACAGAAGGCAGCUCCUGUACUCGGGACCUUUCCAGAUCUUGCUCUAGGUCCGAGCCCUGGUCCAGGAAGAUCCCACAUGCCGCGGAACAACUAAGCCCGUGAGCCACAACUACCGAAGCCCACUAAGCCUACAGCCCGUGCUCUGCAACAAGAGAAGCCACCAUGAUGAGAAGCCGUACCACAACGAAAAGUAGCCCCCGCUCGCCGCAACUAGAGAAAGCCUGCACGCAGCAACGACGACCCAAUGCAGCCAAAAGUAAAAUUAAAAA